GCUAGAGUGGCAGAGCCCGGACAUUGCGAAAGGCCUAAGCCCUUUCUACAGAGGUUCAAGUCCUCUCCCCAGCU
RNAcentral lists this transfer RNA (74 nucleotides) under Ateleopus japonicus (Pacific jellynose fish). Its description in RNAcentral is "tRNA-Leu (UUR)". It matches the Rfam family "tRNA". From Rfam's summary of the family: Transfer RNA (tRNA) molecules are approximately 80 nucleotides in length. Their secondary structure includes four short double-helical elements and three loops (D, anti-codon, and T loops). The record is from RNAcentral. Lineage: Eukaryota; Metazoa; Chordata; Actinopteri; Ateleopodiformes; Ateleopodidae.